AAUGAACGUUGGCGGCGUGGAUUAGGCAUGCAAGUCGAGCGAGCUGUGUAGCAAUGCACGGAAAGCGGCGAAAGGGUGAGUAAUGCGUGGCUACGUACCCUCGGAACCGGGAUAGCGGCGGGAAACUGCCAUUAAUACCGGAUAACGUCUACGGACCAAAGGUGUGAUUCCGUCCGAGGAUCGGGCCGCGUGUUAUUAGCUAGUUGGUAAGGUAAUGGCUUACCAAGGCAAAGAUGGCUAGUGGGUGUGAGAGCACGACCCACCACACUGGGACUGAGAUACUGCCCAGACACCUACGGGUGGCUGCAGUCGAGAAUCUUCGGCAAUGGGCGAAAGCCUGACCGAGCGACGCCGCGUGCGGGAUGAAGGCCCUCGGGUUGUAAACCGCUGUCGAGAAAGAACAAAUCCCUAGGAGUUAUCUUCUAGGGUUGAGUGAUCUCUGGAGGAAGGACGGGCUAAGUUCGUGCCAGCAGCCGCCGUAA
RNAcentral lists this ribosomal RNA (482 nucleotides) under uncultured bacterium. RNAcentral describes it as "partial 16S ribosomal RNA". It matches the Rfam family "Bacterial small subunit ribosomal RNA", at positions 29 to 523 of the family's 1533-position model. The record is from RNAcentral.